ACGGAGGGUGCAAGCGUUAAUCGGAAUUACUGGGCGUAAAGCGCACGCAGGCGGUUUGUUAAGUCAGAUGUGAAAUCCCCGGGCUCAACCUGGGAACUGCAUCUGAUACUGGCAAGCUUGAGUCUCGUAGAGGGGGGUAGAAUUCCAGGUGUAGCGGUGAAAUGCGUAGAGAUCUGGAGGAAUACCGGUGGCGAAGGCGGCCCCCUGGACGAAGACUGACGCUCAGGUGCGAAAGCGUGGGGAGCAAACAGGAUUAGAUACCCUGGUAGUCCACGCCGUAAACGAU
RNAcentral lists this ribosomal RNA (286 nucleotides) under Shigella boydii. Its description in RNAcentral is "partial 16S ribosomal RNA". It matches the Rfam family "Bacterial small subunit ribosomal RNA", at positions 525 to 810 of the family's 1533-position model. Lineage: Bacteria; Pseudomonadati; Pseudomonadota; Gammaproteobacteria; Enterobacterales; Enterobacteriaceae. The record is from RNAcentral.